This 882-nucleotide ribosomal RNA is filed under the name Halomonas sp. Its description in RNAcentral is "bacterial SSU rRNA". It matches the Rfam family "Bacterial small subunit ribosomal RNA", at positions 434 to 1326 of the family's 1533-position model. Lineage: Bacteria; Pseudomonadati; Pseudomonadota; Gammaproteobacteria; Oceanospirillales; Halomonadaceae. The record is from RNAcentral.
AUCCUUGGGGCUAUUACCUCGAGGGGAGGACAUCACCCACAGAGGAAGCACCGCUAACUCCGUGCCAGCAGCCGCGGUAAUACGGAGGGUGCGAGCGUUAAUCGGAAUUACUGGGGGUAAAGCGCGCGUAGGCGGCCUGAUAAGCCGGUUGUGAAAAGCCCCGGGCUCAACCUGGGAACGGCAUCCGGAACUGUCAGGCUAGAGUGCAGGAGAGGAAGGUAGAAUUCCCGGUGUAGCGGUGAAAUGCGUAGAGAUCGGGAGGAAUACCAGUGGCGAAGGCGGCCUUCUGGACUGACACUGACGCUGAGGUGCGAAAGCGUGGGUAGCAAACAGGAUUAGAUACCCUGGUAGUCCACGCCGUAAACGAUGUCGACUAGCCGUUGGGGUCUUUGAGACCUUUGUGGCGCAGUUAACGCGAUAAGUCGACCGCCUGGGGAGUACGGCCGCAAGGUUAAAACUCAAAUGAAUUGACGGGGGCCCGCACAAGCGGUGGAGCAUGUGGUUUAAUUCGAUGCAACGCGAAGAACCUUACCUACCCUUGACAUCGAGAGAACUUGGCAGAGAUGCCUUGGUGCCUUCGGGAACUCUCAGACAGGUGCUGCAUGGCCGUCGUCAGCUCGUGUUGUGAAAUGUUGGGUUAAGUCCCGUAACGAGCGCAACCCUUGUCCCUAUUUGCCAGCGAUUCGGUCGGGAACUCUAGGGAGACUGCCGGUGACAAACCGGAGGAAGGUGGGGACGACGUCAGGUCAUCAUGGCCCUUACGGGUAGGGCUACACACGUGCUACAAUGGCCGGUUCUAAGGGUUGCGAAGCCGCGAGGUGGAGCCAAUCCCGAAAAGCCGGUCUCAGUCCGGAUCGGAGUCUCUCUGAGUUCCCGGCGCGU